GGGUGCGAUCAUACUAGCGUUAAUGCACUAGAUCCCAUCAAAACACCACAGUUAAGCAGGCUUGGGCUAGAGUAGUACUGGAAAGGGUGAACUUUUCGGAAGUCCUAGUGUUGCACCCU
Molecule: non-coding RNA, 119 nt
Organism: Picea glauca (white spruce)
Lineage: Eukaryota; Viridiplantae; Streptophyta; Pinopsida; Pinales; Pinaceae
Source: Rfam